UGAUUCAUGACUGGGGUGAAGUCGUAACAAGGUAACCGUAGGGGAACCUGCGGUUGGAUCACCUCCUUAUA
This is a ribosomal RNA of 71 nucleotides. It matches the Rfam family "Bacterial small subunit ribosomal RNA", at positions 1465 to 1533 of the family's 1533-position model.